AUGGUAGCUCAGUGGUAGAGCAUCUGCUUCACAUACAGAAGGUCCCUGGUUCAAUCUUCAGUAUUCCCAGGUAGGGCUG
Podarcis lilfordi (Lilford's wall lizard) is the source of this 79-nucleotide non-coding RNA. Lineage: Eukaryota; Metazoa; Chordata; Lepidosauria; Squamata; Lacertidae. The record is from the annotation of a GenBank genome assembly.